UACGGGGGGGGCAAGCGUUGUUCGGAAUUACUGGGCGUAAAGGGCUCGUAGGCGGCCAACUAAGUCAGACGUGAAAUCCCCAGGCUCAACUUGGGAACUGCAUCCGAUACUGGAUGGCUUGAAUUCGGGAGAGGGAUGCAGAAUUCCAGGUGUAGCGGUGAAAUGCGUAGAUAUCUGGAGGAAUACCGGUGGCGAAGGCGGCAUCCUGGACCGACAUUGACGCUGAGGAGCGAAAGCUAGGGGAGCAAACGGG
This 253-nucleotide ribosomal RNA is filed under the name uncultured bacterium. RNAcentral describes it as "partial 16S ribosomal RNA". It matches the Rfam family "Bacterial small subunit ribosomal RNA", at positions 524 to 776 of the family's 1533-position model. The record is from RNAcentral.